CCGGCGAUCGCCACCCUCCUGGGACCCCGCCCGGUCGCAAGCCCGUGCCCACCGCAGGGGGAGCGCCCCCGCGCAGCGCCACAGUCACGCCGGCCGCAGCCUGGCAACGCGGCCACAAAGGGAGCCCGGGAGGCGGAAUCUUUCCACAUGCCUGAUCAAUGGGGGCGCGGAGACGGCGGCGCAAACAGGCCCGAGACAGCCGCACAAAGAGGAGGCCCCUCGGCCGCUCCCGCCUCGCAUUGAUCCCUCUCCUUUGUGGCUCGGACAACGGGAGAGGCGCCUCGUGGGGACUCGGCCUAUUCUCAUUAGGGGCGAAGGCCCUCGAGGACCCUUGGCCCCCAGCCCUCAGCAGCAUCCCUUCUAUAGGCUCCGAGACGCGGGUCCAGGGGGUGGGGGUCCCGAGUCUAUCUGGGGACAGGGUGGGGUGGAAAAGUGUCACUAGUGCAGCCACCCAGACUCCGCCUCCUGAGUGAGGACCCCCCAGACCGCUCUAGCAGGUCUGCUGUGUCCCCCUGGUUACUGGCAGCCCUCCUCAAAUCGCCUACUUUUAUUUAUUGAGUAAAUAUUUAUUGAGCGUUUGCUCCAAGCUGUUCCCAUUCCCCUCCCACUCCCCAAACCACCCCCCCAAGACCACUUGAACUGGCCACAGUCCCUUCGGGAAAGUAUCACCUCUCUGGGAAAGCAUCUUUGGCCCAUCUCCCACCUCAGGUUGGGCAGAGCGCCCCCUCCCCCUCUAUGCCCUUUCUAGCUCCAGGCUCUUCAAUCACAAUAGGGGCAGCUAACAAUUACCUAGCCCUUACUAUGGCUACAGCUUCCAAGCGUUUGACAUGGCUGGCUCUGGUUUUUUCUUUUUGUUUGUUUGUUUUUAAGAUGGGACUUCAGUGUGUAUGUAGCCUAGGCUAGGCCUGAAGCCUGUAGCCCAGGCUGGCUUCAAGUUGGUAAUCCCCUUUGCUCUGCAGAAGUGUACCAUACACCCUGCUCCGGGGUUCCUAUAACUCAUAGAACAUCCCUCCAGAUUUGAGCUGCUGUGACCUCCAUUUUUGAGAGACAGAAAUGAAGGCUGGCAACCCUUCAUCUGCUUUCUGUCACCAUAGAUUAGUGUGCGCGUUCUAGAACUCUGCAGACAUGGAAUCCUACAGGAACUCCUCCGCGUCUAGCUCGUUCUGGGGAUUCGGUGCGGUGGCCGGCACUUGUUCCAUCUCAGCUUCUCCAUCCAGACAGCGAAGGUGGACACGUCCUGGUUUCGCUGAGAACAGGCUCACAAGAGAGCGCUAGACCUGUAUACUGCAGGUGCUCAAUAAAUGCCCUCACUUACUGUGCCUCUUCUGUUGAAGAGUUGGAGUUGC
Molecule: non-coding RNA, 1346 nt
Organism: Rattus norvegicus (Norway rat)
Lineage: Eukaryota; Metazoa; Chordata; Mammalia; Rodentia; Muridae
Source: RefSeq, a predicted model, not a curated record